AUCCAACUGACGAGUCCCAAAUAGGACGAAACGCGCUUCAAACUGUAU
Molecule: non-coding RNA, 48 nt
Organism: Schistosoma rodhaini
Lineage: Eukaryota; Metazoa; Platyhelminthes; Trematoda; Strigeidida; Schistosomatidae
Source: Rfam